CCUACGGGAGGCUGCAGUCGAGAAUCAUUCACAAUGGGGGAAACCCUGAUGGUGCGACGCCGCGUGGGGGAAUGAAGGUCUUCGGAUUGUAAACCCCUGUCAUGUGGGAGCAAAUUAAAAAGAUAGUACCACAAGAGGAAGAGACGGCUAACUCUGUGCCAGCAGCCGCGGUAAUACAGAGGUCUCAAGCGGUGUUCGGAAUCACUGGGCGUAAAGGGUGCGUAGGCUGUUUCGUAAGUCGUGUGUGAAAGGCGCGGGCUCAACCCGCGGACGGCACAUGAUCCUGCGAGACUAGAGUAAUGGAGGGGGAACCGGAAUUCUCGGUGUAGCAGUGAAAUGCGUAGAUAUCGAGAGGAACACUCGUGGCGAAGGCGGGUUCCUGGACAUUAACUGAUGCUGAGGCACGAAGGCCAGGGGAGCGAAAGGGAUUAGAUACCCUUGUAGUC
This 446-nucleotide ribosomal RNA is filed under the name uncultured bacterium. RNAcentral's name for it is "partial 16S ribosomal RNA". It matches the Rfam family "Bacterial small subunit ribosomal RNA", at positions 338 to 795 of the family's 1533-position model. The record is from RNAcentral.